RNAcentral lists this transfer RNA (73 nucleotides) under Cylindrotheca closterium. It matches the Rfam family "tRNA". From Rfam's summary of the family: Transfer RNA (tRNA) molecules are approximately 80 nucleotides in length. Their secondary structure includes four short double-helical elements and three loops (D, anti-codon, and T loops). Further hydrogen bonds mediate the characteristic L-shaped molecular structure. tRNAs have two regions of fundamental functional importance: the anti-codon, which is responsible for specific mRNA codon recognition, and the 3' end, to which the tRNAs corresponding amino acid is attached (by aminoacyl-tRNA synthetases). tRNAs cope with the degeneracy of the genetic code in two manners: having more than one tRNA (with a specific anti-codon) for a particular amino acid; and 'wobble' base-pairing, i.e. permitting non-standard base-pairing at the 3rd anti-codon position. The record is from RNAcentral. Lineage: Eukaryota; Bacillariophyta; Bacillariophyceae; Bacillariales; Bacillariaceae.
GGGCCUAUCGUCUAAUGGAUUAGGACACAAAUCUUCUAAAUUUGGAAUGUAGGUUCAAUUCCUACUGGGCCUA